Molecule: ribosomal RNA, 244 nt
Filed under: uncultured bacterium
Lineage: Bacteria
Description: partial 16S ribosomal RNA
Rfam family: Bacterial small subunit ribosomal RNA
Source: RNAcentral
UUAGGCGGACGGGUGAGUAACGCGUGAGUAACCUGCCCUGGAGUGGGGGGACGAACAGUUGGAAACGACUGCUAAUACCGCAUAAGCCCACGAUCCGGCAUCGGAUUGAGGGAAAAGGAUUUAUUCGCUUCAGGAUGGACUCGCGUCCAAUUAGCUGGUUGGUGAGGUAACGGCCCACCAAGGCGACGAUUGGUAGCCGGACUGAGAGGUUGAACGGCCACAUUGGGACUGAGACACGGCCCAG